GUCAGCUUUAAAAACCAUGGAAAAGUUCAGUUGACAUCCUACAGAACUUAGCUGUAUACCUGUUUGCUGUACACCCUUAUGUACACCCUUAUACAACUCUGGACAGCUACCAAACAAGAAGGGCCCAUGAGAUAGGGCUGAGAGUGAAAGGAAGAGGCUGGAGUUACAUGAGAAAUACAUGAUCUGUCAGAUCAGGGCUGGAGUGGAGUAGAAUAAAUAAUCCAUCAAUACAGUUUGAACUUUGAC
RNAcentral lists this long non-coding RNA (246 nucleotides) under Gallus gallus (chicken). The record is from RNAcentral. Lineage: Eukaryota; Metazoa; Chordata; Aves; Galliformes; Phasianidae.